CGGGGAGCAAGGAAACUAACGAGGAUUUCCCUAGUAACGGCGAGUGAACGGGAACCGAGUCCAGCGCUAAAGCCUGCCAGACUUGCUGUUUGGUUGGGCAAUGUAGCGUAAGGAACCGUGACUAUGUUUAGCGGUCUUGACUGAGAUCCAAGUCUUCCUGACUGAAGCUCCUGGUGUCCAAAGAGAAUGCUAGGUUCGUACGAUCUCGAGUCGCCGAUGGCUGUCGCAAGACGGUCAGUCUAAAUUGCACGGCUUUCUGGAGUCGCGUUGCUUGAGAGUGCAGCGUAAAGUCGGUGAUAAACUCCACCGAAGACUGAAAUAUGAUUGCGAGUCCGAUAGCGAACAAGUACCGUGAGGGAAAGUUGCAAAGAACUUUGAAGAGAGAGUUCAAGAGAACGUGAAACUGUUUACGGAGAAACUGAUAGAGCCACGAAGUAAGACUGAACUGGCGGCAAAUUCAGCGCCCUGGGGCUGGGCACUGUGCCGACAAUGCAUACGGCUGGUUGCGAUAUACUGCGACUCAGUCGGCUGUCGGUACGGUAGCGACGCUUGGAACUAGGGCGUGCAUUUUUGCAAAGUCAGUCRGUGAAAACAUCGCAACCGUUUAGGUGCUGGCAAUGGUAGCGGCCGACAAGAUAGUCGGUGCAGGUUGUGCUUCGGCACCUCGUCUGUCUUUGACAGUGAUCUGUAUCGGCAUUAUAUGUGGCUGUUGCUUUAUUGUGGCCAUGGCACUUGAACGAGGGUUCUUGGCACCGGCAUUCAAUGCGUCAGCAGUGGCUGUGCAGGCAGAGUCGAUGGACUUGGGCUAUUGUAGUUUACUGCGAUGCACUGGAUCGUCUAUUCUGUCUGUUGCGGCCGCUUGUCUCUGACACUCGGUGCAUGAGGUUGGCGAUGAGUAAUCGGUUCUCUAUCAGACCCGUCUUGAAACACGGACCAAGGAGUCUAACGUACGUGCUAGUCGUAGAGUUUUCAAACUCUCAGGCGUAAGGAAACUGAAUGAUUUAGCGCGGCUGCCAGCGAUGGCAGUCUGCGAAGGCACGAUCCGCUGUACCCGGGGUUUCGUUAGCCUCAUAGUGGCAGCGGCGCAGUGCCAGCCUGUCAACUGCGGCAUUGACCAGACUGUUUGACAGAGCUCGAGCACGGGCGUUGGGACCCGAAAGAUGGUGAACUAUGCUUGGACAGGACGAAGCCGGAGGAAACCCCGGUGGAGGUUCGAAGCGGUUCUGACGUGCAAAUCGAUCGUCAGAUCCGAGUAUAGGGGCGAAAGACUAAUCGAACCAUCUAGUAGCUGGUUCCUUCCGAAGUUUCCCUCAGGAUAGCA
RNAcentral lists this ribosomal RNA (1321 nucleotides) under Songius bicruris. Its description in RNAcentral is "eukaryotic LSU rRNA". It matches the Rfam family "Eukaryotic large subunit ribosomal RNA", at positions 49 to 983 of the family's 3401-position model. The record is from RNAcentral. Lineage: Eukaryota; Metazoa; Arthropoda; Pauropoda; Tetramerocerata; Pauropodidae.